AUGAGAUUUUCUUAAUGGCCUUAAGCAGAGCAGCAAUUUCGGGACAUGGAUGUUCCGAAAAGUCCGCUUUGAGCCCGGAUGGCGAAUUGCGGAUGGUUGCGUCCGGUAAGAUACCCUUCCUAAGAACAUUUAGAAAAUCCAUUUUUCGAAG
This 151-nucleotide non-coding RNA is filed under the name human gut metagenome. The record is from RNAcentral.